RNAcentral lists this transfer RNA (72 nucleotides) under Ovis aries (sheep). It matches the Rfam family "tRNA". From Rfam's summary of the family: Transfer RNA (tRNA) molecules are approximately 80 nucleotides in length. Their secondary structure includes four short double-helical elements and three loops (D, anti-codon, and T loops). Further hydrogen bonds mediate the characteristic L-shaped molecular structure. tRNAs have two regions of fundamental functional importance: the anti-codon, which is responsible for specific mRNA codon recognition, and the 3' end, to which the tRNAs corresponding amino acid is attached (by aminoacyl-tRNA synthetases). tRNAs cope with the degeneracy of the genetic code in two manners: having more than one tRNA (with a specific anti-codon) for a particular amino acid; and 'wobble' base-pairing, i.e. permitting non-standard base-pairing at the 3rd anti-codon position. The record is from Rfam by way of RNAcentral. Lineage: Eukaryota; Metazoa; Chordata; Mammalia; Artiodactyla; Bovidae.
UCCCUGGUGGCUCAGGUGGUAAAGCAUCUGCCUACAAUGCAGGAGACCCGGGUUUGAUCCCUGGGUCGGGAA